GAAUAUUGGGCAAUGGAGGAAACUCUGACCCAGCGACGCCGCGUGCGGGAUGAAGGCCUUCGGGUUGUAAACCGCUUUCAGUAGGGAAGAAGCGAAAGUGACGGUACCUACAACAGAAGUACCGGCUAACUAUGUGCCAGCAGCCGCGGUAAUACAUAGGGUGCAAGCGUUGUCCGGAAUUAUUGGGCGUAAAGAGCUCGUAGGUCGUUUGUUACGUCGGAUGUGAAAACCUGAGGCUCAACCUCAGGCCUGCAUUCGAUACGGGCAAACUAGAGUUUGGUAGGGGAGACUGGAAUUCCUGGUGUAGCGGUGGAAUGCGCAGAUAUCAGGAGGAACACCAAUGGCGAAGGCAGGUCUCUGGGCCAAUACUGACACUGAGGAGCGAAAGUCUGGGGAGCGAACAGG
RNAcentral lists this ribosomal RNA (405 nucleotides) under uncultured bacterium. RNAcentral describes it as "partial 16S ribosomal RNA". It matches the Rfam family "Bacterial small subunit ribosomal RNA", at positions 359 to 776 of the family's 1533-position model. The record is from RNAcentral.